This is a long non-coding RNA of Xiphias gladius (swordfish), 1882 nucleotides long. RefSeq lists it as uncharacterized. NCBI's taxonomy places the organism in Eukaryota, Metazoa, Chordata, Actinopteri, Istiophoriformes, Xiphiidae. The transcript is spliced from 4 exons. The record is from RefSeq and is a predicted model, not a curated record.
AUGAGCCAAGGUGCAGGGCUUGUUAACUUCGCUGACGUGUAGUUCGUCGGACUAUGUGCUGUUUGAGUUGUCGAACGCGAGUCACGUCGCUGCUGGCAAGUUGUCCAGGAAACUGCCCAGGUAACGCCGGAUACCAGCGCUAUGUAGCCAGGUCACAUGUAAUGAAUCUAAGAAUACCUCUUCCAGCAAGGAAUUCUAACUGAACAGGGCAAACAUAACAAAGACAGAGCUUUGUGGCCAUUUCGUCGAUCAUGGCAAGUUCAGGAAGGUGGUGGAUGGACUACAGCGACCUACCGUAACACCACUGUCUACUUCUUGAAAUGUCAGUGACUGAAGGGUUUAUAAGGUGUCACACCAAGAAACGACUGCACUCUGAGCCGAAUAUGGUAUCCUCUAAUCACACUGGCUGUGGGGCAUGCCAAAAAUGUGAUGUCACAUGCUGGAAAUAACUGUGCAUGUGUGUGCAAAUGUGCACAUGCCUAUUGAUGUAUGUGUAAGCACAUCUGUCUACUGGAACAAAAGAGAAAAGUCAUUAUAGCAGUACAAAUUCCUCAAUAGCUGAUUCUCACAGUAUCAAAAGCUUCAGGCAAAAACUUUAUGACGGGAAAAUUGGUGUGAAACUGCCUUGAGGGAAUGACUGCAGUCCCGUUUUGGCACUUAUCAUUCUUUAAACAGUCCAUUCCACUGAGUGAAGCCCCACCAAAUUUCCUGUGCACUGACACCAUGGUCUGGGGACAAACUUCGAAUGAAAUCACAUUCCUGUCAUUGUUAGGCGGUCAUAGUCAUGCAUAGCAAGACCCAGAAACAUAAUGGCUUCUAACUUUUGACUCUCCCUCCGCAACAAUGCGACUUAGUGUUUUCAGAGGACACAGGAAGAAACAGGAAUAACAGUACGCAGCCAUGCUAGCAGCUUUGUGAGGCUGAACCUAGGCAAAGUCCUGCUUUGAGCUAAAUGUUAAUGUCUGCAUCAUAUGACAAAGCUAACAUUUUGAUGUUAAGCACAUAUAAUGCUAACCGUGUUCACCAGCUCAGUUAAGCACGUCAGCACGCUAACAUUUUUUCUAAUUGGCACCAAAAACAAAGUACAUCUGAGGCUUUUGGACAAAUGAAAGUUUUUACCAGGUGACAGCGCUAGGUGAAAUGUCAGGGGAUCACCCAAGUUUUUAGGAUUCAUCCAGAGAGAUGAAUCAAUAUCUUAAUUUCUAAUCUAUUCUAUCUAAAUUUCACUCAAAGGCAGUAGGAUUUAGUAUCUGGCGACGAUUAAUGUCUGUACCAAAUUAUGUGCCGAUCUACCCAGUAAGUGAGAUAUUUUAUCCGAGGGGUGAAAAAGUCCUAUGGGCACCAUGGAUAUCUGUACCAAAUUUUUACGUCAAUCCAUCAAAUAGUUUUGGAGCCAUUUCACUGAAAAAUAAACCCGUGAACCUCAUGGCACCACAAUCAGGGGAUCACCAAAGUCAUUAGUAUACGUCACCUUGGAACCAUGAAUGUCUGUACAAAAUUUUGUGCCAAUCCAUCCAACAGUUGCUGAGAUAAAUCAGUCUGGACCGAUAUGGUGGAAUUUUUUGUGGCUGACUAUAGUCAGCAGAGAUAAAGGUUUCACCACCGCAGUAAUAAAGGGCAGAGGUGCUCAGUGUGUCUGUGGUAGACUGAGAGACUCAGUGUUGUCAGAGUCAAAGGGUCAAGACCCUGUGCUGGCCCCCACAACGGAGAAGUGAAGCUGCUGGGAGAUAGAGCCCCAGAGGGAGAAGACUGAAGAGACCUCUAAUUGCUGCCCACAUCUGCCAAAAUGUUGUUUUCAGCUGUGCAAAGGGGUGGAUUGGAGGGUGACUUUGAUGAUAGCGUGUUGAUUAUACUCACAUGCUCCCAUGAAUGUAUCAGAAAA